This 3364-nucleotide long non-coding RNA is filed under the name Homo sapiens (human). RNAcentral's name for it is "HSALNT0331339". Lineage: Eukaryota; Metazoa; Chordata; Mammalia; Primates; Hominidae. The record is from RNAcentral.
UUCAAUCCACCUCUGUGUGCGCCGGAGCACGGCUUCAAUCCACCUCUGUGUGCGCCGGAGCACGGCUUCAAUCCACCUGUGUGUGCGCCGGAGCACGGCUUCAAUCCACCUGUGUGUGCGCCGGAGCACGGCUUCAAUCCACCUGUGUGUGCGCCGGAGCACGGCUUCAAUCCACCUCUGUGUGUGCCGGAGCACGGCUUCAAUGCUGCACCUCUGUGUGUGCUGGAGCACGGCUUCGAUGCUCCACCACAUUACAACUCUGCCUUUGUCUUCAUUUCCUGCUUGAACAAUCUCAAGGUCAGCCAGAGUGUCUGAGGAUCGCAUGAGAUAAAGGACUUGAAAGAGCCCAGCACGGGGCCACGGACCCAAUCAGGGGAACUGAGCCCCACAGAAGUCAAGAAUUACUACCAGGCGCAACAGCCAAAAGGUGGAAGCAACCCAAACGUCCACGGACAGAAGAAUGAGCAAACAGAACGUGCACUGAUACAGCGGGACGUGAGUCAGCCCUGGAGAGGAAGGAGUUCCUGCGCACGCUGCAGCAUGAUGGGCCUGGAGGACGUCACGCGAUGGGAAGUAAGCCAGACACAGAAAGACAAAUACGGAAGGAUUCCACUUCUGGAGGCUCCUGCAGUCGCCAGAUUCACAGGGGCAGAAGGUGGAAUAGGGGGUGCCAUCGGUGGGCUGGGCUAGGGGAGGCGAGACUGGGAAGUCGGUGGGCCCAGAGACUCCGUUUUGCAACAUGAAGAGUUCUGGAGAGGGAUGGUGGUGGUGACGGGUGCGUGACAAUGUGAACAUACUGAAUGCCACUCAAGUGUACACUUAAGGAUGGUUAAGACGGGAAAUGUUAUGGUAUGUGUAUUUUAUCACAAUUAAAGAAAACAAAACAAACACCCCAGGGGUCUCAGCUACCCCUGAGCGAGGCUGUGAGCCGGGCCGUCCUGAUGGAGACUGUGGGGAUGCUGCUGGCAGCCACAGCAGUGUCCCGUGUGAGGAGCCCGGCACUGUGGAGUCACAGAGGAUGGCAUCCCCAAGGUCACACAGUGGAGAAAUGGCGGAACUGGAACUGGAACCCGGGUCUGUGUGACUUCGGAGUCUGUCCCCUGAACAUCUGUGUGUGAUUUCCAGUGUGACCAUGGCCAAGAUUUUCUCAUCCCACCACGUGUCGAGUGUCCCUUCAGACCUGGUCCUUCUCAACACCACUGGAAGCCCCUUUAUAUGACCCUCUUCCCAGAACUUUGGGAGGAAGUGGGGUGAGAUGGCCUGAAUCCUCCCAGACCUUCAGUCUGGAGCUCUAUGAGAUUGCUGGGGCUUCAGGGCCAUCAGGGGGUGCACCUUGAGCAGAGAAGGCAAGCGAGGUCCCUGGAAAAGAGCUUCCGAGACCAGAUCAUUAAAACAUCUCCCCAGACCAUUUCAUUUGUUUUACAAGUCUCAGACCAACCUCAGAGCUGAAAACUGCCCAACAAGGGAGCAUUCUCUCUGCACAUUCCCAGCUUGGCCUCACAAAGCCCUCUGUCCCUUGGAGGAGUGAAGGAGUAGGUGUGUCCCGGUGGGUGUCUCUAAGGUGGGCCUGGGGACCCUACUGCUCCUGGAGGGGACACUGAGACCCGGAGAGGCUGGCCAGCUUGCUCUGGUUCAGCCAGUGCUGCGGGCACUGUGGUCCUCCAGGAAUUAAAAUCACAGCCUCUUGCUCAACAAAUACAGUUCAUUCCGAAGCUGCUUACGUCCCCCCCAGAGUCAUCUUCCACCAUCCAUCAUGCUGAACCGGGAGCCGAACAGCGCUGGGUCCUGCUGCUUGUGGGAAAGUCCUGAAGCCAUCUGGAAAGCCAACACCACAGGCUGCCAGGGUUUUAAGGCACCGCCAUAGUCUUCGUCUUCGUCAUGUUUGUUUGGAACAACGGUUACUGUCCAGGCUGGUGACAGACCCCGACCACCCCAGUGACCAGAGCUGGUUAAGGUGGCUUGGACACGGUGCCAUUCGGUGGAUGAAUGAAUAGGGCCCUGUUAGGAGGGGCUGGGGUGGUAGGUGUCCCCAGUGUCACAUUCACAGAGGGCCUCAAAUGUGGACAUUCAUGUGCUCUACAAAGGAGCUGACAGCACCAGAUACCAGACAACCACAGCGGCCUGCAACAGUGUUUAAUAAAAGCAAGAGCCGCCGGCACCAUUUAUCGAGUGUCAACUUUACACUUGGCCCCAAUCUCGAGUCUACGGUAUUAACUCACAUAUUCCUGACCUCAAACCCAUGAGGAAGGCUGUUACUGUUAUCUCCAUUUUAUAGAUGAAGAAACUGAGGCACAGGGAGGUUAAUGGGCUUUCUGAGGCCGUACGCUGGUAGCCGGUAGAGUCACGCAGUUCUGAUUGAGAGUCAUGUCCUUAAACACUGCCUGGCUCUCUCUCAUUGAAGAAGAUACUUAUUAAAGGAGAGAGGUUAAAUAGUCCACGGUUUUCAUAACCUCUUCUUGGCAUUUGUUAAGCUGCCCAGGAUGUCUCUCAGAGGUCUGUGAAUUAAAUGUCUAAUUACAAGGCCAGUGUGAUCGGCAGCCCUGGAGACCCGAGACGACUCCAGCCCCCUUUAUGCAUAGCAUGCCCUCCUUGUGCCAUCCAAAAUGCCUGCAGUUUCUGGGCUGGUUCCUCUCCCUGAGUUAGGAGCGGAUUUAGUUAAGCUUUUCCAAUGGGAUUAAGGAGUCCGGACCCAUGACGCAUCCUGGUGACAUACCAGCCGUGCUGCAGCCCCAACACACCGUGUUCUCUGGAGCUCCAAGAGCAUCUCCCCAAGGGCUCCGGUUGGAGGGCUCAGGCAAGGGGGUGCCCGGUGGGCUGGGGAUGGUAGGACCUGCUGACGGGCUGAGCCCAGCAGGCCACGUGCUGGGGGCUUUUACCAUCUCCUCAAUCCUCUCGAGUAAUUCUGAGAUGUACAAGAUUGGCCCCAUUUACAGAUAAAAACCCUGAGGCCCACAGGCAAAAGGACCAUCCAAGGCUCAGAGCUGGUCAGGCCAGGGCGUUUGCCUGCACCAGUGAUGCCCUCCUAAGUUCUUCCUUUUCAGGGAAAUGACUGUGGUUUUGGCACCAGAGCUAAACAUGGAAUGUCCCACCCAGAGGGUGCAACAAGAAGGACGGGAAGGGGCAGGGCACGGGAAGGGGACAAGGGCUGGUCACGGUCUCCGGAUCAGACUGUCAGAGCUCUUGUCAGUGCCUCCAGUCAAGGGGCUGAGGUUGCCCAGGGAGGAAAAGCAUCAACGUUUUCUAGUAGAAGCACUGACUUUUUUUUUUUUUUUUUUUUUUCAAGACAAAUAAUCUUUUAUUCAUAGUCAUGGUAUCCUCCAGAGAAAAUAAACUGAUAAUUGCUAAUAAAAAAACAAGCACUGUA